CGCGAAAACUUGGCAAUGCGAGAAAUCGUGACCAGGGAACUCCAAGUGGCUGGGGUAAGACCCAGUCUUUUCUUGACUCUUCAAAGGUCUUGGAAUAAGAGGUGGGUAAGGACGGUGCCAGCCGCCGCGGUAAUACCGGCGCCUCAAGUGGUAGUCGAUUUUAUUGGGCCUAAAACGUCCGUAGCCUGUUUGGUACAUUCGUGGGUAAAUCAACCAGCUUAACUGGUUGAAUUCUGCGAGCACGGCCAGACUUGGGACCGGGAGAGGUGUGGGGUACGCUCAGGGUAGGGGUAAAAUCCUGUCAUCCUGAGCGGACCACCUGUUGCGAAGGCGCCACACUAGAACGGAUCCGACGGUCAGGGACGAAGCCUAGGGGCACGAACCGGAUUAGAUACCCGGGUAGUCCUAGGUGUAAACGCUGUGGACUUGGUGUUGGGGAUUCUCCGAGGAUUUUCAGUGCCGAAGCGAAGGUGAUAAGUCCACUGCCUGGGGAGUACGGUCGCAAGGCUGAAACUUAAAGGAAUUGGCGGGGGAGCACCGCAACCUGAGGAUUGUGCGGUUUAAUUGGACUCAACGCCGGGA
This 582-nucleotide ribosomal RNA is filed under the name uncultured Candidatus Poseidoniales archaeon. Its description in RNAcentral is "bacterial SSU rRNA". It matches the Rfam family "Archaeal small subunit ribosomal RNA", at positions 340 to 923 of the family's 1478-position model. Lineage: Archaea; Methanobacteriati; Thermoplasmatota; Candidatus Poseidoniia; Candidatus Poseidoniales. The record is from RNAcentral.